RNAcentral lists this small RNA (504 nucleotides) under Pan troglodytes (chimpanzee). RNAcentral describes it as "processed transcript". Lineage: Eukaryota; Metazoa; Chordata; Mammalia; Primates; Hominidae. The record is from RNAcentral.
AGUUCUCAGUGUUCUGGGAAUGUUAUUCAUCGAUGCGUUUUGGCAGCAAAAUAGGCUUCUGGUUUAAGAACCCCCUGAUCCUGCUGCUGCUGGGCUCUGCCCUGGUGAGUGUCCUCACCAAGGAGUAUGAGGACGCCGUCAGCAUCGCCACGGCAGUGCUCAUCGUGGUCACUGUGGCCUUCAUCCAGGAGUACAGGUCGGAGAAAUCUCUGGAAGAGCUGACCAAGCUGGUUCCUCCAGAAUGUAACUGCCUAAGAGAAGGAAAACUCCAGCACCUGCUUGCUCGAGAACUGGUUCCUGGUGAUGUCGUAUCUCUCUCGAUCGGAGACCGGAUCCCUGCAGACAUCCGACUCACUGAGGUCACGGACCUCUUGGUGGAUGAAUCCAGCUUCACCGGGGAAGCCGAGCCAUGUAGUAAAACAGACAGCCCCUUGACAGGCGGUGGGGACCUCACCACCCUCAGCAACAUCGUCUUCAUGGGGACCCUGGUGCAGUAUGGGAGGG